RNAcentral lists this ribosomal RNA (900 nucleotides) under Enterococcus gallinarum. RNAcentral's name for it is "bacterial SSU rRNA". It matches the Rfam family "Bacterial small subunit ribosomal RNA", at positions 566 to 1460 of the family's 1533-position model. The record is from RNAcentral. Lineage: Bacteria; Bacillati; Bacillota; Bacilli; Lactobacillales; Enterococcaceae.
GGGGCGCUAGGCGGGUUCUUAAGUCUAGAGGGGAAAAGCGCUCCGGCUCACCCGGGGAGGGGUCAUUGGAAACUAGGGAACUUGAGUGCAGAAGAGGAGAGUAGAAAUUCCAAGUGUAGCGGUGAAAUGCGUAGAUAUUAGGAGGAACACCAGUAGCGAAGGCGGCUCUCUGGUCUGUAACUGACACUGAGGCUCGAAAGCGUGGGGAGCAAACAGGAUUAGAUACCCUGGUAGUCCACGCCGUAAACGAUGAGUGCUAAGUGUUGGAGGGUUUCCCCCCUUCAGUGGCGCAGCAAACGCAAUAUACUCUCCCCCUGGGGAAUACUGCCGCAAGGGUUAAACUCAAAAGAAUUGGCGGGGGCCCGCACAAACGGGGGAACAUGUGGUUUUAUUUGAAACCACGCGAAAAACCUUAUCAGGUUUUCACCUCCUUUGCCCAUUCUUAAUAUAGGGCUUUCCCUUCGGGGCCAAAGUGACAGGUGGUGCAUGGUUGUCGUCAGCUCGUGUCGUGAGAUGUUGGGUUAAGUCCCGCAACGAGCGCAACCCUUACUUUUAGUUGCCAUCAUUUAGUUGGGCACUUUAAAGGGACUGCCGGGGACAAAUCGGAGGAAGGUGGGGAUGACGUCAAAUCAUCAUGCCCCUUAUGACCUGGGCUACACACGUGCUACAAUGGGAAGUACAAAGAGUUGCCAAACCGCGAGGUGGAGCUAAUCUCUUAAAGCCUUUUUCAGUUCGGAUUGUAGGCUGCAACUUGCCUACAUGAAGCCGGAAUUGCUAGUAAUCGCGGAUCAGCACGCCGCGGUGAAUACGUUUCCGGGCCUUGUACACCCCCCCCGUCACCCCACGAGAGUUUGUAACCCCCGAAGUCGGUGGGGUAACCUUUUGUAGUCAGCCGCCUAC